UCCGUAGGCGGGCAAUUAAGUCAGAGGUGAAAUCCCGCAGCUCAACUGUGGAACUGCCUUUGAUACUGGUUGUCUUGAGUUACAGUGAAGUAGAUAGAAUAUGUAGUGUAGCGGUGAAAUGCAUAGAUAUUACAUAGAAUACCGAUUGCGAAGGCAGUCUACUAACUGUCGACUGACGCUAAGGGACGAAAGCGUGGGGAGCGAACAGGAUUAGAUACCCUGGUAGUCC
RNAcentral lists this ribosomal RNA (229 nucleotides) under uncultured bacterium. Its description in RNAcentral is "partial 16S ribosomal RNA". It matches the Rfam family "Bacterial small subunit ribosomal RNA", at positions 568 to 796 of the family's 1533-position model. The record is from RNAcentral.